CACAUGUCUGAAAUGAAAGCAAUAAAAACACACACACUAAAAAUGUGGAAAGAGAGAGAUUGAUCUGUGACACAGACAGACACAAGUUGCCACAGGGAACAUCUACUACACGAAAGCUCUUUCCUGUAAAUGACUGAUUUUCUUUAUUAUAAAUAAUAUGGGUCUUAAGGUUAUAUUGUAACUAGGAGUGCUUGACCCAGAGAUCAUUUGGCUCAUGACAUCUCACCAUAAGUGUAAAUUUAGCACCAUAAAUGACCCAGACUGAUUUGAUAUAGAGGGAGUAAUUAAAAUUUCCAGGUGUUGUCCUACAGGCCUCAAACUGCAACUCCUCAAAACAGUUGAAACAAAUUCUUGUCUGACAAUUCAAAAUUACCCUAAAUCCCAGUAGUAGCUUGACUUCUGAAAUUUUAACUUCCUGGUAGAGUGUCUUCCAGUGGACCUGCGCAAGCAGUUGUUCACACAUUUUCUUGGAAAUUGUUGACAAUGCAGGUUACAAUGCACUACAUGGGCUGACACUGGAGCAGUAACAUUGUCUGUGUACAAGAUUUGGAAAAUCUGGAUUUAAAUGGAAAAAAAGAGCAUCCUUUCUUUUCCCAUUUUUUUCUUGAAAUGUCAAAUGUGGACAGUCCUCUUCUGUUUCAAUGGCUCAAGUUUUGUAGCAAUUUUUUCUUGUGGGCCUGGCCCCACUCCAGACACGUUGUUUGUAGGAUAAAAUAGUGCUUCUUCACUCUGUGCAGCCAAACCCAUCCACACACACAAAGACACACAUAAUCACACAACAACCUUCCAUGUUUUGUCUUAUGCAAUUGGUUACCUUAUCUCUGGAUCCAUCCACUCUCAAAGCCAUAAAACAUUAUAUUGUGUGAACCUCUCCUUCACUCAAUUUGAGAAAUAUCUCCUCUGUAUUGUUUGAAGAGCAAUUCCCACAACUGAAUCCAAGUAGUGCUUCAAGUUUGGGCUCAUUAGAACCCAUGAGAGAGAGACAAGAUAGAGAAAUGAGAGUUUUAUGUUAAGAACUCAACCUGCCACCAC
This 1032-nucleotide long non-coding RNA is filed under the name Physcomitrium patens. Its description in RNAcentral is "long non-coding RNA (PPAT_LNC004253)". Lineage: Eukaryota; Viridiplantae; Streptophyta; Bryopsida; Funariales; Funariaceae. The record is from RNAcentral.